RNAcentral lists this ribosomal RNA (301 nucleotides) under uncultured bacterium. RNAcentral's name for it is "partial 16S ribosomal RNA". It matches the Rfam family "Bacterial small subunit ribosomal RNA", at positions 509 to 807 of the family's 1533-position model. The record is from RNAcentral.
CAGCCGCCGCGGGAAUACGAAGGGGGCUAGCGUUGCUCGGAAUGACUGGGCGUAAAGGGCGCGUAGGCGGCGAUCAAAGUCAGGCGUGAAAUUCCUGGGCUCAACCUGGGGGCUGCGCUUGAUACUGGGUUGCUUGAGUGGGGAAGAGGGUCGUGGAAUUCCCAGUGUAGAGGUGAAAUUCGUAGAUAUUGGGAAGAACACCGGUGGCGAAGGCGGCGACCUGGUCCUUUACUGACGCUGAGGCGCGAAAGCGUGGGGAGCAAACAGGAUUAGAUACCCCAGUAGUCCCUGUCUCUUAUAC